RNAcentral lists this ribosomal RNA (894 nucleotides) under uncultured Dechloromonas sp. RNAcentral's name for it is "bacterial SSU rRNA". It matches the Rfam family "Bacterial small subunit ribosomal RNA", at positions 49 to 964 of the family's 1533-position model. The record is from RNAcentral. Lineage: Bacteria; Pseudomonadati; Pseudomonadota; Betaproteobacteria; Rhodocyclales; Azonexaceae.
AUUCACAUGCAAGUCGAACGGUAACGGGCCUUCGGGUGCCGACGAGUGGCGAACGGGUGAGUAAUGUAUCGGACACGUACCUUUCAGUGGGGGAUAACGUAGCGAAAGUUACGCUAAUACCGCAUAUUCUGUGCGCAGGAAAGCAGGGGAUCGCAAGACCUUGCGCUGAUUGAGCGGCCGAUAUCAGAUUAGCUAGUUGGUGAGGUAAAGGCUCACCAAGGCGACGAUCUGUAGCGGGUCUGAGAGGAUGAUCCGCCACACUGGAACUGAGACACGGUCCAGACUCCUACGGGAGGCAGCAGUGGGGAAUUUUGGACAAUGGGGGCAACCCUGAUCCAGCCAUGCCGCGUGAGUGAAGAAGGCCUUCGGGUUGUAAAGCUCUUUCGGCCGGGAAGAAAUGGUAUCAGCUAAUACCUGGUGCGGAUGACGGUACCGGCAUAAGAAGCACCGGCUCACUACGUGCCAGCAGCCGCGGUAAUACGUAGGGUGCGAGCGUUAAUCGGAAUUACUGGGCGUAAAGCGUGCGCAGGCGGUUUUGUAAGACAGGCGUGAAAUCCCCGGGCUCAACCUGGGAACUGCGUUUGUGACUGCAAGGCUAGAGUACGGCAGAGGGGGGUGGAAUUCCACGUGUAGCAGUGAAAUGCGUAGAGAUGUGGAGGAACACCAAUGGCGAAGGCAGCCCCCUGGGUCGAUACUGACGCUCAUGCACGAAAGCGUGGGUAGCAACAGAUUAGAUACCCUGGUAGUCCACGCCCUAACGAUGUCAACUAGGUGUGGGUGGGUAAAACCAUUUAGUACCGGAGCUAACGCGUGAGUUGACCGCCUGGAGUACGCGCAGUUAAACUCAAGAUGACGGACCCGCACAGCGUGAUGAUGUGAUAUCGAUGCACGCGA